RNAcentral lists this ribosomal RNA (253 nucleotides) under uncultured bacterium. RNAcentral describes it as "partial 16S ribosomal RNA". It matches the Rfam family "Bacterial small subunit ribosomal RNA", at positions 524 to 776 of the family's 1533-position model. The record is from RNAcentral.
UACGUAGGGGGCAAGCGUUGUCCGGAAUCAUUGGGCGUAAAGAGCGUGUAGGCGGCUCGGUAAGUCCGCUGUGAAAGUCCAGGGCUCAACCCUGGAAUGCCGGUGGAAACUGUCGAGCUAGAGUCCGGAAGAGGCGAGUGGAAUUCCUGGUGUAGCGGUGAAAUGCGCAGAUAUCAGGAGGAACACCGAUGGCGAAGGCAGGUCUCUGGGCAUUAACUGACGCUGAGGAGCGAAAGCAUGGGGAGCGAACAGG